AUUGAACGCUGGCGGCAGGCCUAACACAUGCAAGUCGAACGGUAACAGGAAGAAGCUUGCUUCUUUGCUGACGAGUGGCGGACGGGUGAGUAAUGUCUGGGAAACUGCCUGAUGGAGGGGGAUAACUACUGGAAACGGUAGCUAAUACCGCAUAACGUCGCAAGACCAAAAAGGGGGACCUUCGGGCCUCUUGCCAUCGGAUGUGCCCAGAUGGGAUUAGCUAGUAGGUGGGGUAACGGCUCACCUAGGCGACGAUCCCUAGCUGGUCUGAGAGGAUGACCUGCCACACUGGAACUGAGACACGGUCCAGACUCCUACGGGAGGCAGCAGUGGGGAAUAUUGCACAAUGGGCGCAAGCCUGAUGCAGCCAUGCCGCGUGUAUGAAGAAGGCCUUCGGGUUGUAAAGUACUUUCAGCGGGGAGGAAGGGAGUAAAGUUAAUACCUUUGCUCAUUGACGUUACCCGCAGAAGAAGCACCGGCUAACUCCGUG
Molecule: ribosomal RNA, 490 nt
Filed under: uncultured bacterium
Lineage: Bacteria
Description: partial 16S ribosomal RNA
Rfam family: Bacterial small subunit ribosomal RNA
Source: RNAcentral